Molecule: ribosomal RNA, 274 nt
Filed under: uncultured bacterium
Lineage: Bacteria
Description: partial 16S ribosomal RNA
Rfam family: Bacterial small subunit ribosomal RNA
Source: RNAcentral
AUACGGAGGGUGCAAGCGUUAUUCGGAAUCACUGGGCGUAAAGGACGCGUAGGCGGGUUGGCAAGUCAGAUGUGAAAUCCUACAGCUUAACUGUAGAACUGCAUUUGAAACUGCUAACCUAGAGUAUGGGAGGGGGAGAUGGAAUUAGUGGUGUAGGGGUAAAAUCCGUAGAUAUCACUAGGAAUACCGAAAGCGAAGGCGAUCUCCUGGAACAUAACUGACGCUAAGGCGUGAAAGCGUGGGUAGCAAACAGGAUUAGAAACCCUAGUAGUCC